ACGCUGGCGGCGUGCUUAACACAUGCAAGUCGAACGGGGCACCCUUGAAUGAGACUUCGGUCAAAGGAAAGGAAUGCUUAGUGGCGGACUGGUGAGUAACGCGUGAGGAACCUGCCUUAUACAGGGGGAUAACAGUUAGAAAUGACUGCUAAUACCGCAUAAGCGCACAGGAUUGCAUGAUCUGGUGUGAAAAACUCCGGUGGUAUAAGAUGGACCCGCGUCUGAUUAGCUGGUUGGUGAGGUAACGGCCCACCAAGGCGACGAUCAGUAGCCGACCUGAGAGGGUGACCGGCCACAUUGGGACUGAGACACGGCCCAAACUCCUACGGGAGGCAGCAGUGGGGAAUAUUGCACAAUGGGGGAAACCCUGAUGCAGCGACGCCGCGUGAGCGAAGAAGUAUUUCGGUAUGUAAAGCUCUAUCAGCAGGGAAGAAAAAAAUGACGGUACCUGACUAAGAAGCCCCGGCUAACUACGUG
RNAcentral lists this ribosomal RNA (477 nucleotides) under uncultured bacterium. Its description in RNAcentral is "bacterial SSU rRNA". It matches the Rfam family "Bacterial small subunit ribosomal RNA", at positions 33 to 507 of the family's 1533-position model. The record is from RNAcentral.